GACGAACGCUGGCGGCGUGCUUAACACAUGCAAGUCGAACGGUGACGAGGAGCUUGCUCCUCUGAUCAGUGGCGAACGGGUGAGUAACACGUGAGCAACCUGCCCCAGACUCUGGGAUAACAGUUGGAAACAGCUGCUAAUACCGGAUACGAGACGGAGAGGCAUCUCUACCGUCUGGAAAGUUUUUCGGUCUGGGAUGGACUCGCGGCCUAUCAGCUAGUUGGUGAGGUAAUGGCUCACCAAGGCGACGACGGGUAGCCGGCCUGAGAGGGCGACCGGCCACACUGGGACUGAGACACGGCCCAGACUCCUACGGGAGGCAGCAGUGGGGAAUAUUGCACAAUGGGCGCAAGCCUGAUCCAGCCAUGCCGCGUGCAGGAUGAAGGCCUUCGGUUGUAACUGCUUUGUACGGAACGAAAGAACUCUUUCUAAUAAAGAAGGUCCGAUGACGGUACGUAGUAAGUAAUAAGACGACCGGACUAACGUACGUCGACGACGCACC
RNAcentral lists this ribosomal RNA (502 nucleotides) under uncultured bacterium. RNAcentral describes it as "bacterial SSU rRNA". It matches the Rfam family "Bacterial small subunit ribosomal RNA", at positions 28 to 509 of the family's 1533-position model. The record is from RNAcentral.